This 253-nucleotide ribosomal RNA is filed under the name uncultured bacterium. Its description in RNAcentral is "partial 16S ribosomal RNA". It matches the Rfam family "Bacterial small subunit ribosomal RNA", at positions 524 to 776 of the family's 1533-position model. The record is from RNAcentral.
GACGUAGGAUGCAAGCGUUGUCCGGAUUUAUUGGGCGUAAAGAGUUCGUAGGUGGUUUGUUAAGUCUGAUGUUAAAGACUGGGGCUCAACCUCGGAAAUGCAUUGGAUACUGGCAGACUCGAGUGCAGUAGAGGCAAGUGGAAUUCCAGGUGUAGCGGUGAAAUGCGUAGAUAUCUGGAAGAACACCGGUGGCGCAAGCGACUUGCUGGGCUGUAACUGACGCUGAGGAACGAAAGCCAGGGGAGCAAACGGG